Molecule: non-coding RNA, 86 nt
Organism: Mycena latifolia
Lineage: Eukaryota; Fungi; Basidiomycota; Agaricomycetes; Agaricales; Mycenaceae
Source: the annotation of a GenBank genome assembly
GGCUUGUUGGUGUAAUGGUAACACAUUCCGUGUACCUAUAGCUAUCGGUUGAUGGAAGGUUCGGAGUUCGAUUCUCCGUCAAGCCA